AGAGUUUGAUCAUGGCUCAGGAUGAACGCUGGCGGCGUGCCUAACACAUGCAAGUCGAACGGUCGCAAGACAGUGGCGCACGGGUGAGGAACACGUGGCUGACCUGCCCUGGAGUACGGGAUAACGCCUCGAAAGGGGUGCUAAUACCGUAUACCGUCCGCGCGUUUAGAAGGCGCGGAGCAAAGGUUUACCGCUCUGGGAGGGGGCUGCGGUCCAUCAGGUAGUUGGUGUGGUAACGGCACACCAAGGCUACGAUCAGUAAGGGGCGUGAGAGCGUGGCCCCUCACACGGGUACUGAGACACGGCCCAGACUCCUACGGGAGGCAGCAGUGGGGAAUUUUCCGCAAUGGGCGCAAGCCUGACGGAGCAAGACCGCGUGCGGGAUGAAGGUCUAUUGAUUGUAAACCGCUUUUGUGAGGGAAGAAGCUCUGACGGUACCUCACGAAUCAGCAUCGGCUAACUCCGUGCCAGCAGCCGCGGUAAUUC
This 486-nucleotide ribosomal RNA is filed under the name uncultured bacterium. Its description in RNAcentral is "bacterial SSU rRNA". It matches the Rfam family "Bacterial small subunit ribosomal RNA", at positions 8 to 526 of the family's 1533-position model. The record is from RNAcentral.